CCUGGCCCGAAGGGCCAAGUGAGCUUUUCCCAUCACUUUGCGUCCGUCGUCCGUCGUCGUUAACUUUUACAAAAAUCUUCUCCUCUGAAACUGCUGGGCCAAAUUAAACUAAACUUGGCCACAAUCAUCAUUGGGGUAUCAAGUUUAAAAAAUGUGUGGUGUGACCCCGCCAACCAACCAAGAUGGCCACCAUGGCUAAAAAUAGAACAUA
Molecule: long non-coding RNA, 211 nt
Filed under: Mytilus galloprovincialis (Mediterranean mussel)
Lineage: Eukaryota; Metazoa; Mollusca; Bivalvia; Mytilida; Mytilidae
Source: RNAcentral